This 254-nucleotide ribosomal RNA is filed under the name uncultured bacterium. Its description in RNAcentral is "partial 16S ribosomal RNA". It matches the Rfam family "Bacterial small subunit ribosomal RNA", at positions 524 to 776 of the family's 1533-position model. The record is from RNAcentral.
UACAGAGGGUGCGAGCGUUAAUCGGAAUUACUGGGCGUAAAGCGUGCGUAGACGGUUAUUUAAGUCGGAUGUGAAAGCCCCGGGCUCAACCUGGGAAUUGCAUUCGAGACUGAAUAGCUAGGGUGCGGUAGAGGGAAGCGGAAUUUCCGGUGUAGCGGUGAAAUGCGUAGAUAUCGGGAGGAACACCAGUGGCGAAGGCGACUACCUGGCCUGUUUCUUGACGCUGAGGCGCGAAAGCUAGGGGAGCAAACGGG